Molecule: non-coding RNA, 136 nt
Organism: Gossypium raimondii (Peruvian cotton)
Lineage: Eukaryota; Viridiplantae; Streptophyta; Magnoliopsida; Malvales; Malvaceae
Source: Rfam
UAUUAAAAAUUUCAUCUAUAUCUAUUGCUAAAAACUGUCGUGGUUGACCGAAUAAUCCGACAGAUAUGUCGUGUGUGCUUCAUGUUGACAUACAUAGACCAAUUUUUAACAACAGAAAUGGAUGAAUAUUUCGAUA